UGUUCUUAGUACUACCUUCGUGAUCCCACGCUCCUAAACAUAUAAGCUAAUAUGUUGCACAUUCAAUAUUUGGAAGAUAUAAACAAAACAUAAAUAUAGAUAGAUUAUCUUUCCAUUAGGUUGAGCCAUCUGAUCUGACAAAUGUUUCAAAUACUACACUCAUGAUCUUAUUAUCCAUCAACUUUGUCUUGCUCACUAUGCUUAAAGUUAGAGAAAAACAAAUACACUUUUGGUUCUGUUGGUGUUUUCCACCAACAGAGCCCAUGCACUUGAUCUCUGCCUUGUCUCUAUGAAUAGGUACACUUCAAGCAAAACAUGGAGGAGUUUUACAACUUCCAGACUCCACCAAGUGAAGGACCUGGAUCUAUGAGCACAAACACACUGAGCAGGAUAUUGCCAACACCAUACUUGGAACUGCUGGGCAAAGAAGAACAUGGGUGACACUGUAUCAAGAGGUGCAGACGUCAAGGUCCACACCUAAUCAAAUGAUGCACCUAAAGGAUGAAGAUGGUGGAAAGUCUUGUCCAGAAGACUUAAAACAUUGGAUCCUUGUCGGAAGAGGUCAACAUCGUCGACUCAAGUCACCUUUCUUGAUCAAGAAGGACGACCCUGGUGUUCCAAGCAGCGAGUGCGCAAUCAAUGGAUACUCUUUUCAGAAGACACUCUACGACACCGGAUCUGACGACAACAUAAUGGCCGCAGUCAUUUAUCAGCUCCUGCAUGGAAUCAUGCCCCUACAACCAAUAUAUUCAGCUCCAAAUGAUUUUCAGGUCAUUGACAUGGGAGAAGACGAAUAUGAUCCACCCACCAUCCUUGGAAGACCGUUCCUCAACACUAUCAAAGCAAUCAUCUACAUUGGAACCGGAGAAGUCCACAUGAACUUCCCCUCUGAGAAGGUACGCAACUAUUUUACUGACCAUAACUAUAUAGUUAAAGACUCUAAGCAGGUCAGGACAAGAAGACGACGCAAUCGCAACUAAGAGGAGGCAAAUCAUCAAGAACGGAUGGGUAGACUGCGAAGGAGAAGUGAUAAAGACUGAAGACAUACAGCUUGAACAGAACUGUCCUGAGGAGACUGUAGCACCGAGUCAGGUGUGGAGGGAGAAGAUAGUUAUACACAAAGAGAGGCGCCGCCGGAAUCACCGACUACGCCACCUAGCGAAUCCCAGGACGACUGAGAAAACAGAGAGUCCUGUUCGGAGGACUUAAAAAUACCGAACGCCUUGCCAAGAGGUAAACUUGGUAGUUAUCCUUUUCCAUUAAAUAGUUUGCUUAGUUAAUCAGGUUCAUGCUAUCUUGAAAAGAAAAUAAAAAUGUUAAAUAGUAAGCCCCAUGUGAGUAUGCUCAUGACAUAAAACCCAUAAGUACAUUCACUGUGGUGGCAUAAAAAUAAAAUAAAUAAGUUUUCAUCUUACAAUAAAAAUAUAAAAUAAUAAUAAUAAUAAUAAUAAUAAUAAGUGUAUGAUCCUGCUAAAUAAAUAAUAUUUAUUAAGGAAGCUCAACAUGAUGAAGGCUAGAUAUUUAUGCUAACACUUAAUUAGUUCCACAAGCUUUGUUGUCUAUUUGAGCUCCACAGAAUUUAAGAAUCAAGAAGACUAGCAGACGGAGGACAUUCUAAUCGCUGUCAGAAUGCUGCUGACUUUCAAAUACACCUCUACCACCUGCUAGCUACAUCAAGAGAAAUUACGUCAAAAUUCAGCUUGGGGGAGAGCACCCCCAUUUAUCUCGCUAAGUAUUUCUACCUAUCUUUAUACUUAUAUUAUGUUAGAAUAUUAAAAUACAUAAACUAUGAAAAACCAAAUAAAGAUUUUGUGCUUAUAUAUAUCUUUUGCUUAGUAUGUUUAAUAAAUAAAUAAAGUGGCUAUGCUAAUCUGAAUCUUAAUAAUAAAACUCUAGCAUGGAUAUGAUGAAUAGUUGCUCUGCCUAAUUUGCAAUUUUGAAGUUCUCUCUCAAGUUUAGACAUAACUGUUAUAAUUUAAAGCUUGCUCUAGAUCUAAACUUGUGGGAUGAAAACUUGAUCUGAAAUCUAAGUUGUUAACGGAUGUGAUAUGGGAAGGUUGAGCUGCUGUUUAUCUGUUCCUAGAGAUGCUAGAAUUCUGGAGAAUUUUAUCUUUGAAAAAUCUUUAAAGUAUUGCAUGAUGAGUUCUUGUAUGAUGAGAGUUUAAAUUCCUACCACAACCAUAUAUACAUGCUUGCUAGACUUUGAGCCACACAUUUACUAUUUACUGCUUAUGAGCAUUGAGUGUGGUCAAGCUGUGUAGACCCUUAGGAACUUGUCAUGUGGUUAAAUCAAGACUCACUUGCACGUUCACUCAUAUAUGCUACUUCUACUUCAGAAGUACCAUCCACAUAUAUCCAUCCAUUUCCAUCUCCAGAAUCACCCAAAAAUAUUCUACUCCUAAUCCGGGAGAGAAUAGUCAAAAACAUUUUCCUAUCCCUGUUAUUCCCUGUGAAAUAAAUCCUCCAAAUAUUUUGGUUACUACCACUUGCUAUAUUAUCUCAAGAGAUGAGUGCUCUGAAAAAAAAAAGAAAAGAAAAGAGAAGAAAAAAAUAUAUAUAUAAACGAGGAAAUAAAAAGGGGCAAGUGCCCGGAACCUCGAAAGAAAGAAAAAGUGAGAUCAGAGGUAAAAAUGGACAAGUGUCCGACAGUAGAAUUAGGGGUACAAGAUACCCACCUAAAAAAAAGAGAGAGAGCAUCUCAUUCUCCUCAUAAAGUUUCAAAAAGCAAGGAAGGUAUGUAUCCCCUCAAAAGAGCGAAAGUAGAAUUAGACUUUCACCAUUGUUAUUACCAUCUUCACCAUACACCAUUCAUUCGCCACACAUGCACAUCUUGAUUUGGCUUAUUUAUUUGUUUCUCUGGAUCCAUGGUUUGACUGUGCAAUAAAUGUCUUAUAAGUAUGUAUUAACUAUCUCCCACCUAUGAGCUCCAGAUAUGAAGCCUUAUUAGAGUAGGGUGAGAGAGAAGGCAAUGUCACUAUGCCUUAUACCACAAAUACCACAUAUCUUGAGAGAAGGCAUAUACCAUCAAUGCCUUGGUAAGGAUCCAGAAAUACCACAAAAGAGAGAUAUGAGAGAGUCAUACAAGGAAUCUCUGAGUUUUAUUUGAAAAUCUGCAAAAACCCCAGAGCUAUAGCUGAUCAAGAAUAAGAGACAUGGCACUUGGCUAGACUGUUCUAUCUUUUAACCUCUUAAGACAGAAGUGACGGUUACAAGUCCCAUGGUGAAAGGUAAAGUAAGUAAGUUUUAGUUCUUGACAGUUUACUCUAACUCAGAGAUGAGAUCUUAAUUAAAAGCAUGUGUACCGUCAAAUCUUUAAGAUAUUGCAACAACUUCUGAUCCACUGUUGAGUCUAUCCUUGCUCAGGGACGAGCAAGAGGUAAGCUUGGGGGAGCUUGUUGACGGUCCUUAAGUAUCAAAUUUAAUUAUUAAAUAAACAAAGAAAAGGAUCCAAAUGAAAUCAACAUCUAGACUUAGGGUUUUAUCUGACAUAAUUCCACGAGUUUUGGUGUUUGUCUAUUUCUGCAGGGGGUUAUCAGGAAAUAAGGAAGAAAGGCCCACAUGUCAGGAUUACAUAGAGAUAUCAACGCACCGCGCAAUUUUCUACCAUCUAGAAGACUCCAGAAGCCACGAGACCGAAGCAGAGGCGAAAUGGGGCGAGGCCCAGGGCGCCCGCCUUGGUGACCUGGGCGCCCGCCCCCUGCUGGAUUGCUUUCAGGACUCUCUUCGCUCGGGAUGUUCCACCGACCUAUUGGAUCAAGAAAAACAUAGUACCACCUCGCCUAUCGACCCAAAAAUGCAUAGAAGGGGAGGACUAUAUAAGGAGACCCCCCUGGCCCCUGGAGAAGACAUGAAGAAAUUAUCAUAGAGAUUGAGGGGUGCCCUCGAAGGAAAACCUCUUCUCUAAUUAAUAUUUCUUUUUAGGCUUAGCAAUCAAUGUAAGGUAGAAAUAGAUAUUCUAGUUUCUACUAGAUUGAGAGAGAUAGAGUGGAGGUGUAGAUUGGAGGAAACCCGGCCUGUCGGUGUCUACUCCAAGCUUGUACCUGCGGGAUCAAGUUCUCCUAACCCGAAGCUUGCUCCUAGGAUUCUUCAGUAAUUCGACUUCUAAAUUCUAGUAAGUUCUUGUUUUAUUGUUCUUAUGGUUUAUGAGUUUACUUUAAUCUCUUCGCGUAGAGUUUAGAGUAAUCAUUGCUGGCGUAAACGUGGUGUUUAUGCUGGGGUACUCAUAGAUAUUCCCUGACUAGCUGGACCGUGGUAGUAGUGAGGAACGUGACAAUUCCGAGUUACCUUUGUAGAUCACAUCUCGUUAGCAGGAAGGAUAGGGUUUAUAGGUGCGGGUCGAACAUCCUUUGUGUUGUCUAGAUUCCGUGAGCCUCCCCAUUAGAACAGUAGAUCAUCCUUACCAAGGUUAGAAGGAGACUACGGUUGCAGUCUUCUCUAUUUAUCACUCACAUCGAAAGACAUUCUUUGUGCCUAAAGGGAUAGUAGCAAUAGAUUUGGUUAGUCAGAUGCACCCUUUCUCCCAGUGGUAAAAAUAUAAAUACGAUAACUCUGGAUAACCUCCCGGGUGAAAUGCUCACCGAUAUCCGUGCGCUUGCGGAUCAUUUUCUAAUUGCGUUACCAAAUAUCAACACUCUCCCCCUCUGGCGCCCUCUAGCCGCCGAGCUCUUGGCUGUGCUGUAGCCCCAUGCCGACGAGGUCGUUGAGGGACCUCACGCUGCUCCGAGACUUCUUCCACUCCUUAGCCAUCAGUUCAACCCUCUUCUUGGAGUCGCUCUUCGCCAUUGACGCUGGGGAAAUGGAUGCGAGCUGGGUGGACUGAUGGAGGUUGCAGAAGGCAAGAGUGGAAAGCUUGAAGGCAAUGGCAGGGUAAGCAAUACGGGGGGCAAGGUCAAGCUUUUAUAACCAACAACUCCACCCCUCCCACUUCCCGCAUUCUUGGGAAAUGAGCGGACCCAACGGCGGAUGCGGCGUUUUGGUUUUCGAUAAUUAUCGGCAGUUAACACGGCGACCUUUUUUCUUAAUUAAUGUUUUCCUUAUCUUGAACCGUGCAAAGAGCGGCUGUACAGUCACCAGGCGCACCUUUUCAUGCAGCCAUCUGACAAUGCGUCAGGAGGUCUCGUCACAUCACCCAUUUUCGUGAUAAGACGUUUUUUUCAAAAUAACAGACGCAAAUUGGUGGAUGACCAACGUCCCUGGGGACUGCACCGACCACCGAGUACCGUAUGCUCGAGGACUGGUCGACCAGUCUGCCAGUUUGGAUAUCUAGGGACUGCACCGACCACCGAGUACCGUAUGCUCGGGGACUGGUCGACCAGUCUGCCAGUUUGGAUAUAUGGGGACUGCACCGACCACCGAGUACAGUAUGCUCGGGGACUGAUCGACCAGUCUGCCAGUUUGGAGAUCUGGGGACUGCACCGACCACCUAGCACCGUAUGCUCGGAGACUGGUCGACCAGUCUGCCAGUUUGGAAAUCUAGGUAUGCAUCAAUUACCAUGCCCUACACGCUCGGGGACUGGUUGAUAAGUCUGGCCAACGAGCAUGAGAUGUUCGGGGACUGGAUAAUUUUAAUUUUUUAGACCUUGCUACAAGGCUCAUACUUCGCCUUCCAGCAAGCUCGGGGACUACAUCGGUACGAUGCAUCUGGCGAUGCAUCUCAGUUUCAGAAUUUCUUUGAGGACUUUUCUUUUGACCCUGGCACCACGUGCCUACGUCACCUACUACCAGGAUUGGGGACUAAGUGGGCACACUUCACCUUGCGGUGAAUAUGCUUGCUUUUUGAAAGGCUAUACUUUUCAGAAAAAUAAAGUGGGCACACUUCACCAGGAAAGAAAUCUUUUUUAAUUGAGAGCACCAUGCAUUCUUCGAACAACCUGCCUCUUCGAUGACAAUGAUGAUCAAUAGUCUUUUGAGCCGAUCGAAAUAUCGUUGCAAUUGUUUGGGCGACUUUCCUGCUCAUUAAAGACGUCAAGCCUCACGGGUCGAAGAAGCUCAAGACGGCGUGUUACAUUCACAAUACAUGGUGCUCGGUGACUAGCUGUGGGGGUAUAAACCCCUAUACCCUUACGGUUAGACUUGGGCCAGGAGGCUUGGCCCAUUACGAGACAAGUUCGAGGCUUGAUCCGACAGCUCGAAGUUUCACGCAAGGAAACAAGACGUGGAUAUCAAGCAGGAUUCUAGUCGGUUAGAAUAGGAACUGAUAUCGAACUAUCUAUGGCAAUUGUAACCGACUAGGAUUAAUUUCCAGAUCUGUAGCCCUGCCCUCCGGACUAUAUAUGGAGGGGCAGGGGACCCCCCUAAGACACAUUAUUCUCAAUCCAAUACAAUCAGACGCAGGACGUAGGUAUUACGCCCACACGGUGGCCGAACCUGGAUAAAAAGCUUGUUCGUGUCUUGCGUCACCAUUGAGUUCGUAGUUUGCGCACCGUCUACCGAUAAACUACUACCGUGGGUAUACCCCAAGGUAGACUGCCGACUAGCUUUCAUCGACAGACGCGUGGCUCGCCUCACCGUGAGUCAAAGGAAGCGCGAGCUCCGAGAGGUCUGUGCGGUUAGCACAGCAGCGCCCUCAUACCUCAAGUGGUCAGAGAGCGCCAUCACUUUUGAUCGACAGGAUCACCCGGAUCGGAUCCCGAAUCCCAGGAGCUAUCCACUCAUCGUCGACCCCAUCAUCGCCGAGACCCACCUCUCCAAGGUGUUGAUGGACGGAGGCAGCGGCCUCAACAUUCUUUACGCUGAGACCCUGGCCCUCAUGGGAAUCAGUAAGUCUCAGCUAAGGAAUGAUGCACCACCAUUCCAUGGAGUGGUGCCAGGGCAUCAUGCCCAUCCCCUCGGCCAAAUCGAUCUGCCCGUCUGCUUUGGGACUCACGACAACUUCAGGCGGGAAGUCCUUACUUUUGACGUGGUCGGGUUCCCUGGAACCUACCACGCAAUUCUGGGGAGACCAUGCUAUGCCAAGUUCAUGGCCAUCCCCAAUUACACCUACCUCAAGCUCAAGAUGCCAGGCCCAAAUGGCAUCAUCACCGUCAGCACGACGAGCCAGCAUGCCUACCAAUGCGACAUAGACUGCAUUGAGCAGGCCGAGGCUCUGGCCGAGUCACUCUCCAUCAUCACCAGCCUCAGCGGCAUCGACUAGGACAUCCCUGACCCCAAGCGUCACGCCGGGAGCUUCGAGUUGGCGGAGGAGACCAAGCUCAUCUUCCUUGACCCCGAGGCCUCCGAAGGCAAGGCAUUGAGGAUCAGCUCGAGCCUCGACCCCAAAUUUGAAGCAGUACUCAUCGACUUUCUCCAUGCUAACGCCGACGUGUUUCCGUGGAGUCCCUCAGACAUGCCAGGCAUAGCGAGGGAAGUCGCCGAGCACUCCUUAGACAUCCGAGCCGGCUCCAAGCCCGUGAAGUAGCGCCUGCGCCGAUUCGACGACGAAAAGCGUCGGGCCAUCGGGGAGGAGAUCCACAAGCUGCUGGCGGCCGAGUUCAUCAAGGAGGUAUUCAAUCCCGAGUGGUUAGCUAACCCUGUAUUAGUCAAAAAGAAAAAUGGGAAAUGGAGGAUGUGUGUAGACUAUACUAGUUUAAAUAAAGCGUGUCCUAAGAAUCCUUUUCCAUUACCUCAUAUUGACCAAAUAGUUGACUCUACUACGGAAUGUGAAACUUUGUCUUUUCUUGAUGCAUACUCCGGGUACCACCAAAUCAAGAUGAAAGAGUCUGACCAACUCGUGACCUCUUUCAUCACCCCUUUCGGAAUGUUUUGCUACGUAACCAUGCCAUUCGGCCUUAAGAAUGCGGGGGCUACAUACCAGCGAUGUAUGCUCUAGGUCUUCAGAGACCUCAUAGGCAAAACGGUAGAGGUUUACGUGGAUGACAUCGUAGUCAAUUCUAGGAAGGCAAGUGGCCUUGUGGCCGAUUUAGAUGAAACAUUCCGAUGCCUUAGGGCUAAGGGAAUCAGACUGAACCCUGAGAAAUAUGUUUUUGGGGUCUCCCGAGGCAUACUCCUUGGGUUCAUAGUCUCUGAGUGAGGGAUCGAGGCCAACCCCGAAAAGGUCUCGGCCAUUGCAAACAUGGGCCCAAUCCGUAACCUAAAAGGGGUAUAGAGAGUCAUGGGGUGCCUUGCGUCCCUCAGCUGCUUCAUCUCCCGCCUCAGAGAGAAAGGGCUGCCCCUAUAUAUGUUCCUUAGAAAGUACAAGCACUUUUCCUGGACCCCUGAGGCCCAAGAAUCCCUUGACAAGUUCAAGGCUUUGCUCACCAACCCUCCCAUCUUAGUGCCCCCCGACGAGGGGGAGCCACUACGUCACAACCACUGAUCAAGUGGCCAGUGCAGCUAUCGUGGUCGAAAGGAAGGAAGAGGGGCAUGCCCUACCGGUCCAAAGACCGGUGUACUUUGUUAGUGAAGUACUCUCCGACACUAAGACCCGAUACCCCAAAUUCAAAAACUACUCUAUGCGGUAGUCCUAGCCCGACGUAAGCUUGCCCGACGUAAGCUCCACCAUUACUUUGAGUCUCGUCCCACCUCUGUAGUCUCAUCUUUCCCUUUGGGAGAGGUGAUCCAAAACCGAGAGGCUAAUGGCAGAAUUGCUGAGUGGGCUAUAGAGCUCAUGGGUGAUGGAAUCACCUACGAGCCUCAGAAGGCCAUAAAAUCUUAAGUUUUAGCAGAUUUCAUGGCUGAGUGGACAGGAACUCAGUGUUGGUGCAAAAGUAGAUCUGCAAACACAAAGGGGUAAUACCCGAUUCAAACGUUAAGGCGUGCCAGCCGAUUUGACCUUACAGUCGACAAAGGUGGUAACUCGAACACUUUGGCCCCGACAACAGCGAUGCUCCCGGAUGUCACGGCCAAGAGGUAUUCAGGCAGAACUCGAGAACUCGCCGAGGUUUACUCGAAGAAUUCUAAAGAACUCAUAGUAAAAUGAAAAAUUUGCAGGAUGACGAAGUAGUCGAAAAAAUAGAUGCUAUAUGUAAAAAAUUGUGUUUGAUUGAUUGUGUAUAUCCAUUACAUUGCCGCAGAGUCUAUAUUUAUACCCUGUCCAAAAGGGUUACAAUCAGACACGACCAGGACUCGAAUUCCAAAUUAAAUAGAAUCCGUAUACAAAACAAACUCCAACAACUAUGGAAAACAUUAAAUUAUCUUUCAGAACCGAUCGGCACACUAUCACCAUGUGACCAUUAAUCCUCACGCCUUCUUCUGUAUUCAUCGGCGAAUCACCUUCUGUGGCCAUUGGCAACCAUCAACAUUAGUCAUCGGCAACCACCAGCACUAGUCAUCGCCACGGAUCCAUCACCGCUCCUGGACUUGGCUAUAUCUUGUCGUUUUCUCAUCGGCAUCAACCUUCAUCGGCAACUCCUCUACGAACUUAGUUACCACCUCUCUGCCUACCGAUUUACACCUCAUCAACUCUAGAUACACGUCCAAAGAUAUGUGUCCAAAAAACGGUGUCAACACAUGCCCCCAAUUUUGGAGUAUAAAAUCAUUAAUGCUUCGAAAUUCUCCCCAGUAAUGACGCCUUUCCGCAAUUAUCCCUUUCUGUCAGCAAUUAAUUACCAAAUCCAAACAACCUCAGCCCGGUCUUACAGCAGGUACCCCGAAUUCCCCAACUUCUCGAACCGAACCCCCUUAAUAUACGUUCAUCGGCAACAUUUUCGUUAGAGAAGACUACCAAUGAACCGACCAGGAGAUCUUGCACAGUAAGAUAUCUCCAAAAUCAUGACCGCUUGCUGUCAAAUCACCUGCGCAAUCCCUUGAUUAUCGUGCGAAUAGUUGCCAUAUCCACCUGAACACCCCCGGAUUUCAUGGAUACGGCGAAGAGAUAAGUCAGAUUUCCCCUACCCUCUUUGUCCUAUAAAUACUUCCUUCUCCAGUACUCUUCCCCAUCUUAUCAUUCUACAGCCUCAAACCCACCUUCCUGGCGGCGGCACUGCUCGAGAACUUCAAGAACUCCGGCAAGGAUCUCCUCCAAUAAUUCUUCGAGUCUUCGAUUCUUUCCUCCUCCCAGGAAGAAAUGGCCAUCAACUUCAUCGUCCCUGAGGUCAACUUAACACCCCAUUUCUUCUUUUUACCAUAUUCUUGUUGUACUCCUUUUUCUCUGCAAAUCCACUUACUGAGUACCCCUUUUUCUUUUCUGUUCUUUCAACCUUCAAACCCUUUAGCAAUUGGCCGAUAAGAUUGUGAUUCCAACCGAUCAACCCCACUUCCAAUGCCUUGGCCCAUUGGGAAACCCAGAUCCUACCGAUUUGAUAAAUGUAGAGACAAAUAGGAUCCCUUUUAGAGCUAAAAACUUCUCUUUAGAUCUGUGGAAAGACACUUUUCGUUUCUGGCUGAGUUCUACCAAGGGGUGGAAAGAUUGGUUCCUGAGAAUCGGCAACUCCAAUGAAGUUCAAUGGGGUGAGCGAAAAUUAGACCAGUGCAUUAGGCUAUCCAUUGCCGAUAUGGAGAGAAACGAAUCACUGUUGAUAGCAGCUUUGUAUUUUUGGUCAGAUACUCUCAAUGCUUUUGUGUUUGGCCAUGGCCCUGCUUCUCCUACCCUUGCCGAUGUACUUAUGCUUACUAGUCUGGAAAUAGCAAGUGCCGAUGAUAGCCAUCUGUUUGACAGUAAGCCUAGUUCUAAGGUAGAAACUCGUAACAUCGGCGGUUGGUCAGGGUACAUUCAGAAGUACCGAAAGAUAGGAGCAGUUGGGCAAAGGGAACAUGCCAUCUUUCUGAAUAUGUGGCUUGAUAAAUUUGUAUUUUGCAGCCGGUCGGCAUGUCCGACUUCUGUUUAUCUAUCGGCAGCAGAAAAACUAGCCAACGACGGUCGCUUCCCCCUUGGCCGAUACUUGUUAGGCUCCGUUUACCAUAUCCUUCACCAAGUAACCGAGAAGCUUCUAUUGAGUCAACCCAUCGGCAACAUAGGAGGGCCUUGGUGGUUCAUCAACAUGUGGCUCAGUGUUCACAUGCACAAACGCCUCGGAUUUGACCUCUUUGCACAGCGUUUUCCCAGAGACAUUGCCGAAGAUUAUGAAUUAGAUGAUGAAGAGAUUAAUUAUCACCUCUGAACUAUGGCGAAGCUGCCAUAGUUUUACCUGGUACUGGUGGCAAUGAAGACCAGCUCAGCCGAUUCUUCCAAACUCUCUAUGAGGACCUUGCCAAAGAUCAGCGAGCAUGGAUGCCUUACGAGGAUCCAGAAACCAGAUUCCUGCUCACUUUCCACCCUUUUGAUGAUUCCCUUAAUAAGGACCAUGACCUGAUGAUGGCAAUUAUUUCUCCAAGGGCCAUACCAGUGAAUUUCUUUGGCAGUGGGAAAACUUCCAACCCCACCUAUGAGUUCUAUAACCCGUCGGCACUGGCUCACCAACUAGCUUUUGACCAGUUGUCGAUUGGACUCUGCUAUGCCGAUGUGCUGAAGCCAAGAGAAACCAUAACUAGUGGUCUUGAAUGGAUCAGGAUAGCCCAGCUUCCACCAAAUGUCGAUACAUCAGAUAUUGAUCUAUCGGCCUGGAUCCCGACUCUCUUCAUUACUCAGAUGUACAAGCAAUGGUGGGAAGAGUGGAAGGAACACCUAUUCUGCACAUCGGCUUUGGCAUACCACAGUAUGAUCGACCCCAAGUAUAAGGUCCCCAAAAACACCGUAAGUCUCCAACCGAUACCUCAAUUCUUUUGUUACUAUUAUCCUUAUCGGUAACUCACUUUCUCUCCUCUGAACAGGUUGACAACCCACCACCAACAGUCAGCAGGAGUGGAAAGCCGAUCGAUCUCCUUCCAUCAGGCUUGAUUUCUCUGAUCGGCAAUAACGCACCAAGCCUAGCAGCUCUAAUGCACCGAAACGUGCGUUUUAAAAAGAUAACCACCAGGCGGUUGAAGACAUCUCCAACAGUUGCCGUUGCUACUUUGGCACAAGCCUUCAAGGUAAAUCUUUGAUUUCCUCGAUUUAUACCGAUUCCAUUCUAUGCCUAAAUAGUCUUUUCAGGAUACAUCGGCUGCUGUGGGAACCUCAUCGGUAACUUUUAUCUUUUAACAUGAUUUUCAUCAAUUAUUCUUUCAUACUGGACUCAUGUAAUCUUGCUUGUUGCAACAAUAGACUGGCAAUCGGCAAAGACCAGAAGUACCAAAGCAAGUGCCGAUGCCCCCCAGUCCAGUCAAGUCAAGAGAAAAGACCCCAAGAGCACCAAGUCACAACCAAAAUGUCAGAAGACAGCACCGCCUUCUCCUCCUCAUUCGGUGUCACCGAUUCAUGUGGAAUCGUCUCCGUCUUCACCAGAAACCCAGACGCAGCAAGCACCAUCACCCCCUCAAUCAGCACCUCCUCCUCAACUAGUACCUUAGCCACAAGAAGCACCAGUCGAUGUGCUCGAGCAGACUGCCGAUCCAGCGGAUCCAAUCAUAUCAUCGGUUGUUCCCCCAGAGCAGACAAGUACUGCAUCUCCUAAAGGUAAAAUACUGACCAUAAAACUAUUACCGAUGGAUUUAUUUUUUCAAAUUAUAAUCACUCUCGUUAUUUCUCAGUUGACAUCGUUCCAUCGGCAACUCCAGCCGAUCAACCUGUGGUAUCGACGGCAUCAACCGGCCAGAGGCGUGAGAUAGCUCUGAAGCAAGUAAGUUAUCUGAUUUCCAUCCUUUUAUUACCAACAUUCAAUCAUCAAAUAACUUAUCUUUGUCUUGUCUUCAGGAACAGGACUCUCCGGAUAGCUUAUUUUCCUUCGCCAUUGAGAUUUCUGAUGAUGAAGGCGAGGAAGCAAGCUCUUCUCAAGCAAUAGGGAUCUCAUCGGCAGAAGUCAAAGCCAAGCUAGAGGAUCUACUGGCCCUGUUACACCAAGACACUGCUUAGUUGGUCGAUGACUUCGACCCGGCCAAAGCCUUGUUCAAGACUCUUCGUGGUCAAAUUCCAACCGAUGCCGAGGAGAUUCUUUUCCAAGCUGCACACUUGGAGAGCUAUCAGCUCCAGUACCAAAAGGCUACCCAGCGUCUUGCCGAUAGAGCCACCCAUGUCCAUCUUUCAGAAGAGAUAAUGAAAUUGAAGCGCCUUGCCGAUGAGAAAUACAAGAGCAUCAGCAUCCUGCAGUCCUGAGGGGAAACACUGAAGCAGAAGAUUUCUGACCUUUCGGCAAGAAGGGAAGUCUUGUUAGCCGAGCUCAAGCAAGUGGAGGAAGCCCUGUCUCAAGCUCAGCAAGAAGAAAGUGAGCUGCGUGAUAUGGUCAAGACUCUCGAGCAGGAAUGGAACACCCAAGCCCGCAAGGCGCUGCAGAUGAAGAAGAAGCUAAAGCUAGUGGAGGGUUCUGCCGAUGAGGACAUCUGCGAGAUAGAAGAAGCCGAUCAAAUCUGCCUGCGUGCCAUAUCGGCCAUCCAAGCUUUACUGAAUGUAUGAGCCCCUCAUCGGCGCCUUAUUUUAUUUCGUCCUUAGAAUACUUUGGAUCAUUCCAGUCUAGCUGAUAGGACUGUUAUCGGCACUUUUGGAAACAUCAUGCGAAACCCCAGAUACAUUUCAUCCAGCCGAUAGGAGUGUUAUCGGCACUUAAACUCUUAUGCAUCAACCCAUAUGCUUGGGUAAUACUUCUUUAGAUAUUUUCCAUUUAAUGCUCUAGGAAAAUCAACUCCUUUGAGAGUCUCCAAAAUGUAAGCAUUACCAGGAGCAGACCGAUUUAUCCGAUAAGGACCCUCCCAAUUAGGAGACCAUUUUCCAAACUUCGAACUUUUAGUCCCAAUCGGUAAAAUUAACUUCCAUACCAAAUCUCCAUUGACAAACUCCUUAGCUUUUACCUUUUUAUCAUACCACCUAGCAACCCUCUUUUUAUUUUCUUCUAUACUUAUCAAAGCUCUCAGCCGAUGCCCUCCAAAUCAUCUAACACAUCUUUCAUCAAAGUAGCAUAGUCAUCGGCAGCCAAUUGAUCUUGAAAAGAUAUUUGCCUAGACCCAGUCUUAAUUUCCCAUGGCAGCACUGCAUCGUGUCCAUACACUAAUUGAUAAGGUGAAACUUUGGUCGAUCCAUGACACGCCAUCCGAUAUGACCACAAAGCUUCAUUCAACAAUGCAUGCCACCUCCUAGGAUAUUCUUCAAUCUUUCAUUUGAUGAGCUUAAUAAUUCCUUUGUUAGACGCUUCGGCAUAUCCACUGGCUCGAGCAUAAUAAGGAGAAGAAUUCAACACUUUAAUCCCCAUACCAAUUGCAAAUUCAUCAAACUCUCCCGAUGUGAACAUAGUACCCUGAUCAAUAGUGAUUGUCUGAGGAAUACCAAAUUGGUAAACAAUAUGUUGUUUCACAAAAUCAACAAUAUUAGCCGAUGUUACUUUCUUCAAAGGAAUAGCUUCAACCCACUUAGUAAAAUAAUCAGUGGCAACUAAGAUGAAUGUUGACGGUUCUUAUGUAUCAAUUUUAAUUAUCAAAUAAACAAGAGAAAGGACCAAUAUACAAAUAACACCUAAAAUUAGGGUUUGAUCUGACAGAAUUCCACGAGUUUUGUUGUUUAUCUGUUUCUGCAGGGGGUUAUCAGGAAAUAAGGAAGAAAGACCCACAUGUCAGGAUUACAUAGAGAUAUCAACGCACCGCGCAAUUUUCUACCAUCUAUAAGACUCUAGAAGCCACAAGAACGAAGCAGAGGUCGAAAGGGGCCAGGCCCAGGGCGCCCGCCCUGAGGACCUAGGCGCCCGCCCCCUCUGUACUCCAAUCGGGACUCUUUUCGCACACGACGUUCCACCGACCUGAAGGAUCAAGGAUAACCAUGCAAUCGAUGUCGAUUUGAUCCAGUGGCUCACGUUCACUUGAGGGGACUAUAAAACCAGACCCCCUGGCCCCUGGAGAAGACAAGUUUAUCAUAGAGUUGAGGAGAGCCCUCGAAGGAAAACCUCUUCUCUAAAUAAAAUUUCUUUCUACGCUUAGCAACCAAUGUGAGUAGAAAUAGAUCUUCUAGUUUCUACUAGAUUGAGAGAGAUAGAGUGGAGGUGUAGAUUGGAGGAAGCCCGGCCUGUCGGUGUCUACUCCGAGCUUGUACAUGCGGGAUCAAGUUCUCCUAACCCGAGGCUUGCUCCUAGGAUUCUUCAGUAUUUCGACUUCUAAAUUCUAGUAAGUUCUUGUUUUAUUGUUCUUUUGGUUUAUGAGUUUAUUUUAAUCUCUUCGCGUAGAGUUUAGAGUAAUCAUCUCUAGCCUAGACGUGGUGUUUAAGCUAGGAUACUCAUAGAUAUUCCCUGACUAGCUAGACCGUGGUAGUAGCGAGGAACGUGACAUUUCCGAGUUACCUUUGCAGACCAUAUCUCGUUAGCAGGAAGGAUAGGGAUUAUAGGUGCGGGUUGAACAUCCUUUGUGGUGUCUAGAUUCCGUUAGCCUCCCCAAUAGAACAGUAGAUCAUCCUUACCAAGGUUAGAAGGAGAUUAGGUUGUAGUCUUCUCUAUUUAUCACUCACAUCGAGAAACAUUCUUUGUUGCCUAAAGGGUUAGUAGUAAUAGACCAGGUUAGUCAGAUGCACUCUUUCUCCUAGUGAUAAAAAAAUAAAUAUGAUACUCUGGAUAACCUCCCAGGUGAAGUGCUCACCAAUAUCCGUGCGCUUGCGGAUCAAUUCCUUAUUGCGUUCCCAAAUAUCAACAAUGAACUUAUGCCCCUUGCUUGAUGGUGGAUAAAUCUGGCUGAUUAGAUCAAUAGCCCAUCCCCGGAACGGCCAAGGCUUAAUAACAGGAUUCAUGGCCGAUGCGGGUGCCCUUUGAAUAUUACCAAAUCUCUGACAUUCUUGACAUCCUUUGAAAUAUUUAAAGCAAUCCUCAAGUAUAGUCGGCCAAUAAUACCCAUUUUUUCUGAUCAUCCAUUUCAUCUUAAAAACCGACUGAUGUGCUCCACACACUCCUUCAUGGAUUUCACCCAUUAAGCUUUUAGCCUCAUCAACACCUAAGCACUUGAGCAAAACUCCAUCUUGCGAUAAUAUAAUUCUUCCCCAAGGAGCACAUACUUGGUAGCCUGAAACCUAACACGCCUCUCAACCUUUUUAGGUGGAUUUUUCAGGUAAUCAAUGAUUUCCUUUCUCCAAUCAUCGGCAUUUAACACAUUUAAGAUAGGUUGAUACCCCGAGGCAUGCUGAGCCAACCGAUUAGCCUCCUCAUUAUGUAAUUGAGGAACAUGCUCUAAUCGAAAAUCCUUGAAUUCCUUCAAUAGUUGCAUACUCUUUUCAUAAUAGGUUACCAAAACCUCGCUUCAGCAUUCAUAACUCCCAGCCAAUUGAUUUAUAACAAGCAUAGAAUCACCGAAGAUUUCAACAGCAUCGGCAUGAACUUUUUUUUAACAAUUCUAACCCUUUGAUUAGAGCUUGGUAUUCGGCUUGAUUAUUCAUUGAUGUAGCAACAAUCGGCAAAGAGAACUCAUACUUCUUUCCCCGAGGAGAAAUUAGCACUAUACCGAUUCCUGCCCCACGGUCGCAUGUGGAUACAUCAAAGAAGAGCGUCCAAGGAACAAUUUUCAAAGUCCCCACUACACCGCAAUGUUGAGUCACAAAAUCAGCCAUAAUAUGUCCCUUAACUGCCUUAGCCGAUUCAUGACGUAGAUCAAAUUCAGACAGCGCCAAAAUCCAUUUGCCGAUUCUACCACUCAUAAUCAGCAUAGAUAGCAUGAAUCGGACUACAUCAUUGUAACACCCCAGGUGUUUGUCACUUGCUAAGUACUAGGUUUGAGCUCAAACAUGACAAGCUAAAUGGUAACAAAGAGGUCACAGCCAACUUAUCAAAGUAAGCCCUAACUUGGACUUGGAUGAUGCACCUUUACUUACAUAUAGGCCCUUAUUAAAAGGUAUACUUGGAUAAUGCUAGUGGAACUGUUUUCAUGUGUCUCAUAUCCAUCCCAAUCUAUGUUGGUGCCUCGAAAAGUUUGUUGAAGUUUGGAAUCAAGAAGUCACAUGAAAUGAUAAGUUACAUCCUUGUUGGAAUGGCUCUAUUAAGGAAAUAGAAUCAUGGGUCAUGAACCAAACCUUCCAAACUUUCUCAUAUGACACUAGAUGAAUUAUACAACAAAAGUCAUGAAGGGUUCAUGUUGAGCUUAUGUCAAGAAAAGGCUUCAAUUGGCCUAAAACCCUAUUUGGAGCUUUAUCGGGUUACUGCUUUGACCAAAGUGAAACAUUGACUUCUGUUGUAGUUAUGAGGUUUGACCCUAAAUGAAAGUCAUAGUUUUGCUUCUGUAGAAGAAACUUUAUUAAAGGGUCAAGAACCAAAUCAGCUUGCAAAUAGUUCAAACAGAGGCUCCAAUUUCGAAUCAGCUGCUGCUUUUUAUCCCUGAGCAAUAAUUCUAAGUCCCUGGAAAGUGAUAGCAGCAAGUUAGCUUCUUUGUGACAUUUUAUUAUCCAAAUUCAUAUGGAACUCAAUUAUAUUCCUUAAUAUGAGUUGGAGUACUCUUCUUGAUGAAAGCAUUGGAUCAAGUAUCAUCAAAUUUGGAGUUCAUUUGGAUAUCUAAAAGUAGCUCCCAAAACAGAAAAAAGUUAUUUUAUCGCUAAACGGACAUCGACCCGUUGGCAUGCCGCGUUCUCAUGUUUUUGUUAAGCAACUAAAGUUGGUCCAAGAAUAAAAGUGGUGGACAAUUACUUGGAGAAGGUCAUGUAAAAAGCUGCAUCGAUGUUUGACACGGUUUGGACCAUCAAUUCUUGGUUUUGCUAAUCACCAUCAAUACGUUGACACUCGUGACUUGGCAUCUAAUUAUCUUCUAAUCUGUUGGUCUAAUGACUGAGCAUCCUGAAUCAAAGUUGUAGUGCACAGCGAGAUGAGCAAACUUCAUUUUUGGCCCAAGGUCCAAUUCGUCCCACCUUCCCUACUUCGCUGCACGCUACAUGCUCGGCGAAAUGCGUCAAAGGGAAACGCGUGUCCUGGACGUGUCCACCAUGCACAGCGCCCCCACCUCCAUUGAUGAACCCCUGCUGCCCCUCUCACGGUCUGUGAAGCCAGAGAGCGCUCCCCACCCUUCUGUUGUGGACGUCCAGCUCCCUUGCCUCUCUCCUCGCUCUAGUCCCGCUGUCCGCCAUGGACAGGAAGCGAAGCUUCAUGGCCAGGCCGUCUGAGAGUGGCUCGGGCCAAGCUGAGUGGUGUGGAGGAUGCGGGCAAGCCUCCUAUUGCUUCCCCACCCCUCCAUCGUCCCCGACGAGGCCUCAGCCGGCCAGGUCCUGGCGACCAGGGACCUCUAGUUAGAAUAUGAAACAACACAGGGUUCCAGAUGUGAACCACAGAGUGCGUCUAGACUGCGGCUUGAUUUGUGGAAAACUCAGGGUUCCCGAGGUAAAAGUGUUUUUCUUUUUCUUUUGUUUUAGCAGAUUUCUGGGUGAAUUUCGGAAAUGCAUAGUAAUUCAUAGAAAAUUCGUAAAAUAGAAAAUAUGGACUUUUUGGAAUCCCUAUGAAAUUCUCUAUGCAUUAGAUCUAUAAAAUGGUAUGGUUUAGUUUGAAGUUUUAGUCGUAAAAAUAGAUUUAUGCAGUUAGGUUUUAAUUUCUUGUUAUAAUUGUCUUUUUCAUAACUGCUGUAGUAUUGCUCCAUUAAAUGUGAAAAUAUUGUGACAUGCUUUUCAUAUGAUGUUUGAUGUCAGGUAAAAGAUUCAUGAAUUUAGGAUUGAUAGAUUAAGAGUUAUAAAAAUAACAAAUGCCCUUUGUUGCUUUGCUCCUAUUCUGAGUGGAUCUGCAUGUUUGUUUUGUUUGGCUCAGUUAAGUUGCGAAUCUUGCCUGGAUGAAAAUAUAUAAGUUUUAGUACUUUUCAUGAACUUUCCACAAAGAUAAAUAGCACAAUUUUUGGUUAAGCACAUGUUUAGUUAUAGUUGUUUAAAGUGCUCUUCCAGUUUCUGUCUAAGCCCAGACAGGAUUGCAUUGUUUGUAAUGUAAGACCGUGUUAGUGAUAGAUUUAGCUCUAGAUGUUUAUAACCAAGUUGUUCACAAUUUCUUAGUAUUUCUAGAAACUACAUAAUUAUAAAUUAUGGACAUGUGAACCUCAAGUUAUAGCUGUUUAAUGUGGCAUGACAGAUUCUGUCCAUGUUUUGGACAGAGAUGUCUUUAUGGGGUUAAUUGACCUUGUUAACUGUGGAAUCAUCUUUAGAUGUUAUUAAGGAAGUUGUAGAUAACUUUAUAAGAUUUCCAAAAAGGUAAGAAUCAUGUUUACUGGAGGUCUACAACUCCAGUUAUGCUUCCUUGAAUUGUCUAUCAGUUUUCUGUUUGUAAUUGUACUUCUACUAUUUGGCAGCAUGAACAGUUUUAUUUAUGCAAUUAAUUCCAUGAUAUAAAUGAUAUUUGCUGUUGAACUUGUAUAUAGAAAAGAUGUAGAUAACUUACAAAUAUAUCUUGUGGUAAAGUUUCAUAUCAUUCAGAUAAGUGGUUUAUGAGUUACAGUAGUAUGAAAUUCAUCCUUUGAAAUGCUUGUUCUCUGGAAGUUUCUGGACCAGAUUAUAUGGUCAUGCAUGUUUGACUUGGUUAACUUGUUAAUCAUGCUAAUAUGAUUAAAUAUGAAUUGUAGAUAAUUUGAUAAUCUUUCCAGAAUGUCCUAUUGCAUAGUUUUUGGAGUUGUAUAACUCCAAUUAUGAUUUAUUUAUUGAGUUGUUGCAUGUAUGUCCAGAAUUGCUGAAAUACAUGAAUGCUUGAUUGCUUUACUUUGUGUGAUCUAAGUAUGAUUCAUGUCUUUAAUGGUGACUAAGUAAUACACUUGUAAACUUGUUAAACUUGUGUCAUGAUUGAUAUGUUUGCUCUAUAUAAUUGGUUGUGUGAUGUUAGCUAAAUAACUUUAGAUGCCUGUGUCUUGCAUACUUUUAUGUGAUGCAUGUUGUGUUAUUAUUCUUUAUAUUCAUGCACUUGCAUCUUGCAUCUCAUCUAGGUGCGCUAGAUGAAUCACGUGAAGGUCUUGGUGUGGGAACAAACCAGAAGAUGGUGUUGGGUGGACCCAUCCCGAAGGUGGAAGGACUAAACAAGUGUUGUAACCUUAGAUAUCACCAAGACGGAGCAACUAACUGAACUGACUCCGUAUUGAUCCCAGGCAAGCCCCGGAGCAUUAUAAGUCUCCCACUACUUUUGAAUGCAAUUGAGAAUAUAUGUUAUAUAUGUAUUGUUGCAUUAAGUAUAGGAGUUGUGAAAGGUCCAAAUGGCUAGAGGGGGGUGAAUAGCCUAUUUAAAAAUUCUACAAACUUCAACUAGACAAGUUGGUUAGUAAAACAAAAGGCGAAGCUAUUCUAGCACAAGCACAACUAAGCUAUGCAAGCCACCUACACAAGUCUAGCAAGAAAUCUAAACACAUGUAAGUAGAGGAGUGGAGAGUGAUUGUUAUACCAACGUUGUAGGGUAGAGAUAUAUCCAACCAAUCACUCACAAUCACAAGAGAGUCCUCGGCAAGAUAUGACACAAGAUUUUUUACCGAGGUUCACUUGCUUCCCGGCAAGCUAGUCCUCAUUGUGGCGAUACACCCACUUGAUGGAUCACGAGCUAAUUGGCAAUCCAAAGCGAAACCCUCAGCGGGUGCCGCACAUCCACUCACAAGAUGGGGAUCCUCCAAGCCACGAGGAAUCCACUAGAGUAGCCAAUUGCGAUCUCCCGCGGGGAAGGCUCAAGAACCCCUCACAAAUCACUUGGUGAGGCUCGAAACAAUCUCCAAUCACGAGCUCAACACCUCCCUUGCACCAAGCCAUCUAGGGCGUCGGGAAACACCCAAGAGUAACAAGAAAUCCACACUUGCAAUCACCACCUAGUGCCACAAGAAUGAAAUCACAAAUGCACAACACUAGGGUUUCCCAAAUCCUCUCACCAAAGAGCACCAAGCUAUGGGGAUGGAAAGGAGAGGGAAGAGAUGCUCUUGAAGCUCCCAGAUCUAUCACUAGAGCUCAAUCUCUCACUUGAAUGGAGCACAAAGCUUUGGGAGUGAGAGAGGAGGAGGGGAGAGCUUUCUCUACUCUUUGGAAGAGCCAUCGGAAGUCAGAAAAUGUGUUCUAAGGGAAGUGCCCGGUUAGAAACAAGGGAAACGAGUAUUUAUAGUGUGGCACCGGAAGUUCCAGUGCCUGGGACCGGAACUUCCGGUCCGACCAGAUCUAAUCGUUGAAGCCACGAUCCAAGCAGAUCUGACCGUUGUAGCCAAGCAGAUCUGACCGCUGUGAGAGACUCAAACCCACCGAAAGUUCCACCGGAACUUCCGGUCAGAGACCGGAAGUGAAUCCUGACACGCGAGGCCAUGCGCAAAGGCUCCUAUGCAGACUUCCAUUCAUGGACCAGAACUUCCGGUUAUGGACCGGAACUUCUUGUCAUGGACCGGAACUUCCGGUCAGACACCGGAAUUGUUUUCUCAAACGCGAGCGCAUCUCUCACAGGACAACCGGAGCUUCCUGUCAGGCUGAUCGGAACUUCCGGUCAGGCACCGGAAGUCCCACCGGAUGUUCCACCAGAACUUCCGGUCCUGCAUUCUCAGCACCAUCUCAAACCUUGUUAGGUUGCUAACUUUUAGCUUCGAACUCCGAAUUCGAUGAUCUUAGCCAUUUUGGAAAGCUUACUGAGAGGGCUAUACAAUCCAUAUGGAUACUCAAUCCAAGUCAUAAUGGAUCAAAGCAGUAUUUCAAUCUAAAAGCCAUCCUAAUGUCUGGAGAACACCGAAAAGCCUCUCUCUCUUCUCCAAGUUGAUCAAAAUCAACUAUAACACCUUCUCCUUUGCAAAUGUGCCAACACCACCAAGUGUACACCACCAUGUGCAUGUGUGUUAGGAUUUCACAAAUAUUUUUAUAGGCUUUCUCAUGCAACUCAGCACGUCACUAAGCGCUAGGUUAUGCAAAUGAGACUCACACUUAGUGGCACUAGUAACCAUUGCAAUUAAAGAUUUGCCCUCUUUAUAGGACGGCUAUCUAUCCUAAAUCUGGUCAAUCACUUCUCUACUCAUCUUAGACCGGCAAAAACAAAAUCCUAUAUUUAUACAUUUGCCUUGAUCACUUUACUCCUUGUCCAUCACCAUGAUCUCCACUUCAUGCCUUCUCUCUUUAUGACCAUGUGUCCACCACUCAUGUCACGUUGCUCCUUCUUCAAACGUGUUGCUAUGCCUAACUCAAAUCACUUGAACACAAAGCAUUAGCAACUUGGUGUCAUUAUUUACCAAAACUAAACUUGGGCUUUCAAUCUCCCCCAUUUUGGUAAUUGAUGACAACCAUUACAAAGAUAUGAAAUGAAAUCAUAAUGAACUUGAAUUGCUUGUCCAAAGCAUUUUAAUCAUGAGACAAGGUUGGACAAACAUUUCAAUUUCGAUUUUGGUAGUACUAGCUCCGCCUACAUAUGUGCUUCCAUGAGUUUGGUUCAAGUUUGCACGUAUGCAUGAAUUGGAAUUUUGGGAGAUUUAUUACUACCAAAAUGAUGCUAAGGUAUAUAGAAUGGACCUUUGAAGCGUGAUACCAAUCGGAGUUGCCAAUAUACCAUCCUUAGCACCAAUGUAGCUAGACAUACAUCAAAAACUCAAGAUACCUCAUGAGAUCACAUUAUAUGUCUAGAUACCACAAGAAAAUAAAAACUCUAUACUAGAAUUCAAAGCAUCAUUCAAGUUUUAUUUCUAGCAAUCAUCAAUCAAACAAGAGUAGUGAAUUUAAACUUGUAAUGCAACAUCUCAUUAUGUUAGUGCACAUACAAAUGCAACAAAUGGUUCAUGAGCUUGCUCCCCCUAUUUGUGUGCUCAAGUUUUAAUAUUUUCAAAAUUUUUCUCUCCCCCUUAAGCACUUUUCUCCCCCUUAACGACUUAUCUUUGUUUCUCUCCCCCUUUGUCAUCAAUGACCACAAAGGUUCAAAUUUUUAAUGAGAAUUAAGUCAGUCAAUGUGAGGGUCAAAUUAUGGUUCAAUCUAGAUCACUUUCCUAGAACAUGUAAUUCGGUGUGAUCCAAGGACAAGCUUUUUCACACCUCAUGAAAUAUAAGGUUUAUCUUGACCAUGUUGAAUUACACAUCAUAAGCUCAUAUUCUAGAUUCAACACUAGGCUUGCAAGCUCACAAACAUGUCAUAUGCUACCACUAGAUCAAUCAAUCAUAGAAACAAUAGUGGUACCAUACAUACAUCAAAACCUUUUGAUUUUCAUGAAUGAGCCUAUUAUCAUGCAAACAUGUCUAUAUGUUCUAAACAUUUCCUUAGCAAAGUAUGAAUGCUAUGUCAACCAUCAUUACCUUGCUUUGUUGGAGGAGAGGCAUGUCAUAUGGAAAUGUGGGGGUGUACUCAUCUCAAGUUGGAGAAGUCAAGUAUGUUCAAUUCAUUCAUCAACUUGCAAAAUCUCUUCUCAUCAAGUGGCUUUGUGAAGAUGUCGACUAGUUGAUCUUCGGUGCCAAUGCUUUGAAUGCUAAUAUCACCCUUUUGUUGACGAUCUCUUAUGAUAUGGUGCCUUAUGUCAAUGUGCUUGGUUCUUGAAUGUUGAACAGGAUUUUGUGUCAUCUUGAUUGCACUCUCAUUGUCACAUAGCAAAGGCACAUUCUUGAAUUUGAUUCCAAAGUCAUUCAAGGUAGCUUUCAUCCAAAGCAAUUGUGCACAACAACUACCAGCACUAAUGUAUUCGGCCUCGGCUGUUGAUAGUGCAACACUAUUUUGUUUCUUUGAUGACCAUGAAACUAGAGACCUUCCUAGCAAUUGACAAGUGCCACUUGUGCUCAUUCUAUCAAUCUUGCAUCCACCAUAAUCGGAGUCCGAAUAACCAAUCAACUCAAAGUUAGACCCCUUGGGAUACCAUAAUCCAACAUCAUGAGUGCCCUUGAGAUACCUCAAUAUUCUUUUGGUUGCCUUCAAGUGACUUUCUCUAGGUGAAGCUUGGCAUCUUGCACAUUUGCACACACACUAAACAUCACAUCCGGCCUUGAUGUAGUGACAUAGAGCAAACUUCCAAUCAUAGAACGGUAUAGCUUUUGAUCUACCAUGUUGCCACUAGCAUCACUACCUAAUUGAUCAUUUGUGCCCAUAGGUGUGCUCAUUGGUUUAGCUUCUUGCAACCCAAACUUCUUGAUCAUGUCCUUGAUGUACUUGCCUUGACUUACAAAGGUGCCAUCCUUCAUUUGCUUGAUUUGAAGACCAAGGAAGUAACUAAGCUCUCCAAUCAUGGACAUCUCAAACUCAUUUGCCAUCAUUCUUCCAAACUCUUCACAAAAGUCUUGAUUGGUUGAUCCAAAGAUGAUAUCAUCAACAUAGAUUUGCAACACAAACAAGUCAUUGCCUAGUUUCUUGAUGAAGAGGGUAGUGUCAACCUUUCCCAUCUUGAACCCUUUGGAGAGAAGGAAAUCUCUCAAUCUCUCAUACCAUGCUCUAGGAGCUUGCUUCAAACCAUACAAUGCCUUCUUGAGCUUGUAAACAUGGUUGGGUUUCUUGUCAUCUUCAAAACCGGGACGUUGUUCAACAUAAACCAACUCAUUUAUAUAUCCAUUGAGAAAUGCACUCUUCACAUCCAUUUGAUAGAGCUUGAUGUUGUGGGCACAAGCAUAGGCUAAUAGGAUUCUAAUUGCCUCCAAUCUUGCAACCGGUGCAUAAGUUUCUCCAAAGUCAAGACCUUCAACUUGAGUGUAGCCUUGUGCUACUAAUCUUGCUUUGUUUCUCAUGACUACACCAUCUUGAUCUUGCUUUUUUCUAAAGACCCACUUAGUACCAAUCACAUUGUAGUUCUUUGGCCUCUCAACAAGCUCCCACACUUGAUUUCUUGUGAAGUUGUUCAAUUCUUCAUGCAUGGCAUUUACCCAAUCAGAAUCUUUCAAUGCAUCUUCAAUCUUCUUUGGUUCCUCGAAUGAGACAAAUGAGUAGUGCUCACAAAAGGAUGCUAGCCUUGAUCUUGCUUGCACACCACUUUCAAUACCACCAAUGACUUGAUCCAAUGGAUGAUUGUUGGGUAUUUUAAACGCAAACAGAAAAAUCCGCAAGCGCACGGAUACCGAUGUAGCCUUCACCCGGGAGUAUUCCAGAGUAUCGAUUUUCCACAGGGAACGUGAGUGUACUAAUUAAGAUCCAAAAUCACCCAAGGAUAACUAUAUAAUUGUUUUUGGUGGGAAGAGAGGAAGUUUCCUGAGAGUUCUCUAGUUGAUCUAAGAAUCAAGAAUUACUUCAAGAUUAUCUAUGUCGGGACAUCAGAGCACUAACCACAGAAAGAGAUGAGAAGGGGGCUAGGAAGGUCUGACUACGGUCCUACAAACACCGAUCCGAACGUGGUGGAAUACGUCGACCGUUAGGGCUGUCACNNNNNNNNNNNNNNNNNNNNNNNNNNNNNNNNNNNNNNNNNNNNNNNNNNNNNNNNNNNNNNNNNNNNNNNNNNNNNNNNNNNNNNNNNNNNNNNNNNNNAUGGGUGCAUUCCAGGUAUUGCAGGCUAAACACCACGUCUAAUCUAUUAAUUACUACUCUAGCGUUAUAUAGACUAGAGCACUUGAUGCAAGCGGGAAUCCAAUAAAUAACUUGAAUGUAAAUAAAAGUAAUUAAAGAACUCAGGAUUAUGAAUUGAAGAACCUGGAGAACGAUGAAGAACAAACCAGUUGCUGCAAAAGUACAAUGUUGAGGAAGAUCCGACAGAUCCGGCUCCUCCUCCGCUCUCCUCUUCUCUCUCCCUAUUUUCUAGAUUACAACUAGAACUAACUAGAACUAGAACUAGAGGAACUAGAACUAGAACUAGAUGAACUAGAACUAGAUCUAGAUGAACUAGAGGUAGAACUAGAAGAACUAGAGGGAUUCUCUCUACUUGGAUGAAGAAUUGAAACCCUAACUUUGAUUCUGUAGAAGAGGUAUGAUCUCCAGGGGCCAGGGGGUCUGGUUUUAUAGUCCCUUCAAGUGAAUCUGGGCCGUCGGAUCAAACCGACAUUGAUUGAACGGUUAUUGUUGAUCCUUUAGGUCGGUGGAGCAAUAUCCCGAAAGAGAGUCCUGAUUGGACUCUGGCUGAGGGCGGGCGCCCAGGAAAGGAGGGCGGGCGCCCUGUCCCUGUGUCUUCUCGGCCUCCGCUUCGGUCCCGUGGCUUCUGGAGUCUUCUAGAUGAUAGAAAAUUGCGUGGCAUGUUAAUAUCUCUAUGUAAACCCGACGUGUGGGCCUUUCUUUUAUAUUUCCUGAUAACCUCCUGCAGAAAUACACAAACACCAAAACUCGUGGAAUUCUGUUAGAUAAAACCCUAAGUCUAGGUGUUGGUUCCAUUUGGAUCCUUUUCCAUGAUUAGUUGAUGGUUAAAUAUGAGCAUUAAGGACCGUCAACAAUGAUCUCUUGCUGUGCUUGUAGGUUGGAGUAUUGGGAGUUGAUUGCUUUCACUUGCUUGAUUUUGAUUUUGAACAUCAUUAUGAGAGCCACUAGUACUAACUUGAUUUGUAUCAAUUUGCACUUCUUGAUUGAUCAUGUGAAUGUCAUUAUCAUCAUCAACUUGCCUUGGCCUUAUGUCACCAACAUCCAUGUUCUUCAUUACAUUUGCCAAUUGAUCUCCUCUCACAUCAUCAAGAUUUUGAGCUUCACUUUGUGAUCCUUUGGUUUCAUCAAACUCAACAUCAUGGACUUCUUCCAAUGUGCCACUUGCCAAGUUCCAAACUCUAUAUGCCUUGCUUCUGGUGGAAUAACCAAGUAAGAACCCUUCAUCACAUUUCUUCUCAAACUUGCUCAAUCUUGUGCCUUUCUUGAGAAUGUAGCAUUUACAACCAAACACUCUAAAGUAUGCAAUGUUGGGCUUUCUUCCAUUCAAUAGCUCAUAUGGUGUCUUCCCAAGCUUCCCAUGACAAUAGAGACGGUUGCUACAAUAGCAAGCCAUGUUGAUAGCUUCACUCCAAAAUGAAUGGCUAACAUUGUAUUCACUAAGCAUUGUUCUAGCCAUAUCAAUCAAGGUUCUAUUCUUCAUUUCAACUACUCCAUUGGAUUGAGGAGUGUAUGUUGGAGAGAAUUGAUGUCCAAUGCCAAGAUCAUCACACAAUUCCUCAAUUCUUGUGUUCUUGAAUUCACUACCAUUGUCACUUCUAAUCUUCUUGAUAGUGGUUUCAAACUCAUUUUGCACCCUCUUGACAAAAGACUUGAAUAGAUCACAAACAUCACUCUUGUCAUAGAGGAAGAACACCCAAGUGUAUCUAGUGUAGUCAUCUACUAUCACAAAUCCAUACUUGUUGCCACCAAUGCUAGUAUAUGUUGUUGGCCCAAAUAAAUCCAUGUACAAUAGCUCAAAUGCCUUUGAUGUGCUCAUUUCACUUUUCUUGGGAUGUGCAUUUCCAACUUGCUUUUCGGCUUGACAGGCACUACAUGGUUUAUCCUUCUCAAAACUGACAUCCUUCAAGCCUCUAACUAAGUCAUGCCUCAAAAGUUUGUUCAAUUGUUUCAUUCCAGCAUGACAAAGCCUUCUAUGCCACAACCAACCCAAACUUGAUUUGCUAAUUAGGCAUGAUGUCAAUUGAGUGUCACUAUCAUUGAAAUCAACCAAGUAUAAGCUACCAUGCCUAAAUCCUUUGAAUAUCAAGUUUGAUCCAUCAACACUAACAACCUCAACAUCAUCACUACCAAAGAUGCACUUGAAACCAAGGUCACAAAGUUGUGCAAUUGACAAGAGAUUGAAAUCUAGGCUCUCAACUAGCAACACAUUUGAUAUGCUCAGGUCAUUUGAGAUAGCAAUUUUACCAAGCCCUUUGACCUUGCCUUUCUUGUUGUUGCUGAAGGUGAUAGAAUCAAUGCCACCAUUUUGAUUUGUAUCAAUGGAUUUGAACAUACAAGACUCUCUGGUCAUAUGUUGAGUGCACCCACUAUCAAGCACCCAAUGCCUUCCUCCGGCUUUGUAAUUGACCUUAGUGGCCUUAGCCAUGAAGCAUGAUGGAGUGUUGAAGAUGGAGCUUUUUCCUUGAAUGGCAAUGCUAGCAUGCGCCUUCUUCUUGGUGCUAUCCUCAUCACUUGAGGAGUCAUCACUAUCCCAAGUUGCAACAUGGGCAUCACCCUUCUUCUUGUUUGAGCCUUCCUUCUUUUCUUGCUUCUUCUUUGCUUCUUUCUUUCUUUCUUGAUAGCAUCUUCAUCAUCACUAUCAUAAGGACACUUGGUGAUGAGAUGAUCCUUGCUAUGGCAUCUAAAGCACCUCAUGGAAUGGUUAUUCUUCUUGGAGGAGCUCUUCUUCCUUCUUGCCCGAUAGCCCUUCUUAUUCAUAAACUUGCCAAAUCUUUUGACAAGAAGAGCCAUCUUCUCAUCUUCAUCACUAUCACAAGUGCUUGCUUCUUCUUCACUUGAUGACUCUAUCUUGGCUUUGCCCUUGGAUGAGGAGGCCUUGAAUGCCACACUUUUCUUCUUCUCAUCAUCCUUCUUCUCACCAUCCUUCUUCUUCUUCUUGAUCAACUCAUCCUUCUCAUCAUCUUCUAAGCAUCAUCGGUCAUCACUUCUUGGAACACUUGAAUGGGGAGUUGAUUCACUAAGUGUUGUCUUGACUAGCACGGUGAUCAAAGUGUCAAAUCUCUUGGGUAAGCAUCUCAAGAACUUCAUAGAGAAUUGACUAUCCUUCACUUCUUCCCCAAGUGCCUUGAGCUCAUUCACAAUAACUUGCAACCGGUGAAACAUCUCCGGCAUAGUUUCAUCUUCUUGCAUCUUGAAGCUUGAGAACUUUUCUUGGAGGAUAUAUGCCUUGGCAGUCUUGGUUCCCUUGGUGCCCUUAAAUGUUUCUUCUAGUUUUGCCCAUGCAUCAUGAGCAAUCUCAAAGUUCUUGAUUUGCUCAAAGGUCUUAUCAUCAAGAGCUUCAUGAAGAGCACUUAUUGCAAUGUCAUUGCAUUGAAGCUUCUUUUCUUCAACCGGUGUAGGUGCAUUCUCAUUUGCAACCUCAAACUUUAUUUCGGUCACCUUCCAAACUUCUCUAUUGAUUGACUUGAGAUGGGCGGUCAUCUUGACCUUCCAAUAAGCAUAAUUGGUGCCAUCAAAGUAAGGUGCCUUCUUGGUGUUGUUGAUAUACAAACUAAGAGCCAUUUCUUCACCGUAGGUUGUUAAGCCUCAAAUAAAUGGUGCCUUGGCUCUGAUACCACUUGAAAGGUCCAAAUGGCUAGAGGGGGGUGAAUAGCCUAUUUAAAAAUUCUACAAACUUCAACUAGACAAGUUGGUUAGUAAAACAAAAGGCGAAGCUAUUCUAGCACUAGCACAACUAAGCUAUGCAAGCCACCUACACAAGUCUAGCAAGAAAGCUAAACACAAGUUACAACAAGAAAGCACAACUACAAACUUGCUACACUCCUAAACAAGAAGACUAAACUAAACAAGCUAAACAACUAGCAAGAUAAACAAGUAAGAAAAGGAGUGGAGAGUGAUUUUUAUACCAACGUUGUAGAGUAGAGAUAUAUCCAACCAAACACUCACAAUCACAAGAGAGUCCUCGGCAAGAGAUGACACAAGAUUUUUACCAAGGUUCACUUUCUUCCCGGCAAGCUAGUCCUCGUUGUGGCGAUACACCCACUUGAUGGAUCACGAGCUAAUUGGCAAUCCAAAGCCAAACCCUCAGCGGGUGCCGCACAUCCACUCACAAGAUGGGGAUCCUCCAAGCCACGAGCAAUCCGCUAGAGUAGCCAAUUGCAAUCUCCCACGGUGAAGGCUCAAGAACCCCUCACAAAUCACUUGGUGAGGCUCGAAACAAUCUCCAAUCACGAGCUCAACACCUCCCUUGCACCAAGUUGUCUAGGGCAUCGGGAAACACCCAAGAGUAACAAGAAAUCCACACUUGCAAUCACCACCUAGUGCCACAAGAAUGAAAUCACAAAUGCACAACACUAGGGUUUCCCAAAUCCUCUCACCAAAGAGCACCAAGCUAUGGGGAUGGAGAGGAGAGGGAAGAGAUGCUCUUGAAGCUCUCAGAUCUAUCACUAGAGCUCAAUCUCUCACUUGAAUGGAGCACAAAGCUUAGGGAGUGAGAGAGGAGGAGGGGAGAGCUUUCUCUACUCUUUGGAAGAGCCACCGGAAGUUAGAAAAUUUGUUCUAUGCGAAGUGCCCGGUUAGAAACAAGGGAAACGAGUAUUUAUAGUGUGGCACCGGAAGUUCCGGUGCCUGGGACCGGAACUUCCGGUCCGACCAGAUCUGACCAUUGGAGCCUCAAUCGAAGCAGAUCUGACCGUUGUGGCCAAGCAGAUCUGACCGUUGUGAGAGACUCGGACCCACCGGUCAGAGACCAGAAGUGAAUCCUGACACGUGAGGCCAUGCGCAAAGGCUCCUAUGCGGACUUCCAUUCAUGGACCGGAACUUCCGGUUAUGGACCAGAACUUCUGGUCAUGGACUGGAACUUCCGGUCAGACACCGGAAGUGUUUUCUCAAACGCGAGCGCAUCUCUCACAGCCCAACCGGAACUUCCGGUCACGCACCGGAAGUACCACCGGAACUUCUGGUCCUGCAUUCUCAGCACCAUCUCAAACAUUGUUAGGUUGCUAACUUUUAGCUCUGAACUCCGAAUUCAAUGAUCUUGGACAUUUUGGAAAGCUUACUCAGAGGACUAUACAAUCCAUAUGGAUACUUGAUCCAAGUCUCAAUCCAAGAGCCAUCCUAAUGUCCGAAGAACACCGAAACACCUCUCUCUCUUUACCAAGUUGAUCAAAAUCAACUUCAACACCUUCUCCUUUGCAAAUGUGCCAACACCACCAAGUGUACACCACCAAGUGCAUGUGUGUUAGCAUUUCACAAACAUUUUUAUAGGAUUUCUCAUGACACUCAUCACGUCACUAAGCGCUAGGUAUAUGCAAAUGAGACUCACACUCAGUGGCACUAGAUAACCAUUGCAAUUAGAGAUUUCCCCUCUUUAUAGUACGGCUAUCUAUCCUAAAUCUAGCCAAUCACUUCUCUACUCAUCUGAGACCGGCAAAAACAAAAUCUUAUGUUUAUACCUUUGCCUUGAUCACUUUACUCCUUGUCCAUCACCAUGAUCUCCACUUCAUGCCUUCUCUCUUUAUGACCAUGUGUCCACCACUCAUGUCACGUUGCUCCUUCUUCAAAUGUGUUGCUAUGCCUAACUCAAAUCACUUGGACACAAAGCAUUAGCAACUUGGUGUCAUUAAUUACCAAAACCAAACUUGGGCUUUCAAGUUGGGUGAAACCCUUGCUGCAUAUAUCACUCCUUAUAACCCUAUGUAGAUUCGGGAUCGAAUCUAAAUGCUUAGUCAUGCUUACACCGAUAGAAGCCAGGUGAUGUCCUGUCACCUGAGCAAGAUACACUAGUACAGAAAAUAUUUUUACAGGCGGUUAAGGCAUCUUCACAGGCGGCCAAGCCCACCGCCUGUACCAGGGGUCAGUACAAAAUAGACCACAGCACAGGCGGGGCUGUGUGAGCCGCCUGUGAAAAUUAGGUUUUCACAGGCGGCCACCUAGCCAGCCGCCUAUGUAAAUGAAUAUUUACACAAGCGGCUGACAAGGUGAGCCGCCUGUGUAAAUGUAUUUUUACACAGGCGGCUCACACUACACCGCCUGUGUAAAUAAUUUUUUAUAUAUAUUUCAAAUUUUAAUUUUUCCCACCAAACACAGUGCUAAACACCAUAUAUAUGUAUAUAUAUAUAUACACACACACACAUCAUACAUACACCACAUAUAUAUAUUAUAGAAUUGUAAACAUGAAAUCAAACAUCAACCAUAAAAUUACAUAUAUACACGUCAAUGCAUGUUAUCCGCACGACCAUACAAUGUUUACAUGUCUUUUCGCUUCAGAUUUAGACCUGCUAUGUCUGUCAGCACUCUAAAUUUAUCACUUCCUAAAUCGCCCUCAUGAUCAAAAUAUGCACCGUCACUUGGAAUUAUUUCUCUCACUAUAAAACCAAAGUCUGCUACUAUAUCUUCCAGAGUCUUUGGUGUAAAGGGCACGUCCUUUCCUUGCUAUUUUGGCUGGAAACAAAGUUUAAAAGCAUGAUUGACACAUGUUAAAUAUAUAAUUUUGCAACUUUAAUGAGAAAACUUCAUACAUAUAUAUUAUUUACCAUAUUUUUGUCCCUGACGUAACGUCCCCGCUGCCUUAUAAACUCACAGACAUAGUACCCACAAUAGACUGAUCCAGGUGGUUGCUUGUGGCACUAUAUAAUGAGCAACGGAUUAUUCUAAAUUUGCGAUGCUUUAUGUAUUACUUAUAUGAUGAAAUGUGUUUGGACAACUUACCGGAUAGUGGUGCUGUAUCAUCAAUGGCACCCUAGGAUCUGAGCGUGCGACGUCGACCGGUCCCUUUUGUUUCUUAUAAAACCGCCAUGCCCUGUAGAUAUCGAAUAUAAAUCACUAAAGUUAUUUUGAAACUCUAAUUUAUAUAAGUACGCAUGUGGUUUCAUAUGUUGGCUCACUUUUCUAAUUGAACCAAGAAUGGUUGAUACUUCUCGGGAGGAACAUGUAAAGAGUUUAGGACAAGCACCUUCCCUUCGAAGGGAUAAAUAUAAAAAACAAUCCAAUGGUCACUGCAUGAAUAAAUGAGUGAGCGACACAUUUAUAUUGUUUGCACGAUAAUUAUUUGAAGUACGUAUAUGAAGUCAAGCUUACCUAAAGUUGAAAGGUGCCAAUAUAAAAUCCCUAUACUUACACCUCAGCAUUGAUCUACCAAGAUAGAGGGCAUAAUUAUCCUCGUAUUUUAUUUGCAACUCUUUUAUAGCUUCUGCAACUUCUUCUGGUGUUUUGUCUUCCUCUAUCUUUGCUCUAUCUUCCUUUGAUAGUACAAAUUUGUGCAUAUUUUUCCUGUAACUUGAUAGGGCUCACAUAACCGACCAUCGAUCCGGUAGAUAAUAAUGACCUCUGCUCGUGAUCUUGCAAACUACAGACAACAUCUACAUAUUAGAUUUUCACACUACAUAUUAAUAAUAAUUAUUAUGUCUGCAUGAGUGAUACUUACAGACACCAGACUGUUAUGAGUUGGACGUCAAGCCGCCUAUAGUCCAAUAACAAGUGCAUGUCCUCAAAGGUAACAAAUGCCUUGCUUUUUUCGUUACCAGUAGCAAACAUGUCUGCUGGUAUAUCAACUCUGAUUGCAUGGAGGCCAGCAUGCACUGCUCUCAUGUACCCGUCAUGAAACCUUUUUAUCAGCCAGUGAAUCUUAUCAAGCAGCGUCCAUUGGAGCAUAGGCCUUCCGGGCACAUAGUCACUGGGGACAUUGACAUAAUCAUCAAUCGUUGGCUUUCUGAUAUCCUUUAGGGUCAAUGGUUGACUUGAUGGCUGUUUAACAUGUACAUCGCCACUUGGGGCUUCCUUUGAUGGGGGCAUGGCUUCUGUUGACUGGGCGGUGGCUUCCUUUUUCUGUGACGGUUUGAGCUCAAUAAGUCGUGCCGUCCGCUGCUUUCCAAGUCCUUUCAGAAAGAGAGUUGUGCCUGCUGCUUUCCCCUUUUUUGGCUCAAUGGGAGAAAUCAAAUUUGAAAUUGGAAAUUUCUUCACCUUCUUAGAGGCCGGUGCUGCUGGGGGAGUUUGGUCAUCUUCCUUCUGCUUUGGAGGUGGUGGGGGAGUCUGCUCAUCCUCCUUCCCCUUUGAAGGUGGUGGGGGAGUUUGCUUAUUCUCCUUUGAUGGCGAAGUCUGCUGCUCAGGCAUGUUCUCCUUGGCUGGCACCUCAGACUCAUUCUGCAAGAAUGCCAUCUCAUGUAUUGGGGAGGAUGGUGGUGGCUCAUAAAUGUACGGGGAUGCUGGAGCAUGCAUUGGUGAUGGUGGCUGUUGAUAUGUUUCGGCCUCUUGGUAUGGUUGAGGCACUAUGCUUGGAGAGGGUGGCACUAGUGGAUCAAUCAACCUUACGUAUCGUCUCGGCCAUUGUAUGAAGUUGUUGAUUGCUUGUCCAAUCUUCUCUAUACCCUCAGAGGUCAGGAUUGUAACAGAACCGCCCAAGUUAUAAGAGAUUAAGCCUAAUAGUGACCAUUUGCAUAGUCAAAACCAUCGAGCUUAAGCCCAUAUAAUCCCGGUAGUCCGUGAAAUCUCGAAGGAUUUCAAACUACAUAUCGUACAUACAGCUAAGAUCGUAAUAAGUUUAGCGGUCACCAUCCACAAUUACAUCCAGUUCAUAAACAUCCAUCAAAUACAUCGGAGUGCUUAAAAUUAUUACAAACCAAGUUCUCAAGUAGCGGAAGCUUCGUAGUUUGGAAAAUAACACACACAUACAUAGUCUGAUACAGUGCCAUAGUUCAGUCAUUCCCACAAAAGCAAAAGAUGAGGUAGAGUGACCAUCGGCCUUGGUCUAAUCAUCGCCCAUUGCUAGGUACAAGCAGAGGAUGCAAUAACCAUAGUACAUUUGACCAUCUACAAAACAACAUGGGAAUAGAACCCUGAGUACGAGAAUGUACUCAGCUAGACUUACCCGUCAUAAACCAAAAAUAAAGACUCUUCAAGGAUCAUGAAGGCUAUAUGGUGGGUGUAGUUGAUGACUUUUUGCAUAAAAGCCCCAUGUGAGUAGACGAGUGGCAUAAAACCCAUAAGUACAUUAAUUGUGGUGGCAUAAAAAUAAAAUAAAUAUUUUUCUGCUCUAGAAAAAACAAAAAUAUAAAAACAGGGAGUAAUAUUUAUUAAGGAGUCUCAACAUGAUAAAGGUUAGAUAUUUAUGCUAACACUUAAUCAGUACCACAAGCUUUGUUGUCUAUUUGAGCUCUACAGAAUUUAAGAAUCAAGAAGACUAGCAGACGGAGGACAUUCUAAUCGCUGUCAAAAUACUGCUGACUUUCAAACACACCUCUGCCACCUGCUAGCUACAUCAAGAGAAAUUACGUCAAAAUUCAGCUUGGGGGAGAGCACCCCCAUUUAUCUCGAUAAGUAUUUCUAUCUAUCUUUAUACUUAUACUAUAUUAGAAUAUAAAUACACAUAACUAUGAAAAACCAAAUAAAGAUUUUAUGCUUUGCUUAGUGUGUUUAAUAAAUAAAUAAAGUGGCUAUGCUAAUCUGUAUCUAAUAAAACUUAAGCAUGGAUAUGAUGAAUAGUUGCUCUGCCUAAUUUGCAAAUUUGAAGUUUUCUCUCAAGUUUAGAUAUAACUGUUAUAAUUUAAGGCUUGCUCUAGACCUAAACUUGUGGGAUGAAAACUUGAUCUGAAGUCUAAGUUGUUAACGGAUACGAUAUGGGAAGGUUGAGCUGCUGUUUAUCUGUCCCUAGAGAUGCUAGAAUUCUGAAGAAUUUUAUCUUUGAAAAUCUUUAAAAUGUUGCAUGAUGAGUUCCUGUAUGAUGAGAGUUUAAAUUCCUACCACAGCCAUAUAUACAUGCUUGCUAGACUUUGAGCCACACAUUUAUUAUUUACUGCUUAUGAGCAUUGAGUGUGGUCAAGCUGUGUAGACCCUUAGGAGCUUGUCAUGUGGUUAAAUCAAGAUUCACUUGCACGUUCACUCAUACAUGCUACUUCUACUCCGGAAGUACCAUCCACAUAUAUCCACUCAUUUCCAUCUCCACAUUCACCCAAAAAUUAUUCUACUCCUAAUCCGGGAGAGAAUAGCCAAAAAUAUUAUCCUAUCCGUGUUAUUCCCUGUGAAAUAAAUGCUCGAGUUAUCCUGGUUACUACCACUUGCUAUAUUAUUUAAGGAGAUGAGUGCUCUAAAAAAAAGAAGAAAAAAAAAGAAAAAAAAAUAAUAUACGAGGAAAUAAAAAGGGGCAAGUGCCCGGAACCUCGAAGAAAAUAAAAAGUGAGACGAGAGGUAAAAAUGGACAAGUGUCCGAUAGUAGAAUUAGAGGUACAAGAUACCCACCUGAGAGAAAAGAAAAAGAAAAUAUAGAGCAUCUCAUUCCCCCUCAAAAAGCUUCAAAGUGCAAGAAAGGUAUGUAUCCCCUCAAAAGAGCAAAAGUAGAAUUAGACUUUCACCAUUGUUUUCACCAUUAUCACCAUCAUCACCAUACACCAUUCAUUCGCCACGCAUGCACAUCUUGAUAUUGACUUAUUGACUUGUUUCUCUGGAUCCAUGGUUUGACUAUGCAACAAAUGUCUUAUAAGUAUGUAUACUUUAUCUCCCACCUAUGAGCUCCAGAUAUCAAAGCCUUAUUAGAGUAGGAUGAGAGAGAAGGCAAUGUCACUAUGCCUCAUACCACAAAUACCACAUACUUUGAGAGAAGGCAUAUAACAUCACUGCAUUGGUAAGGAUCCAGAAAUACCACAAAAGAGAGACUAGAGAGAGUCAUACAGGAAUCUCUAAGUUUUAUUUGAAAACCUGCAAAAACUCCAGAGCUAUAGUUGAUCAAAGAACAAGAGACAUGGUGCUUGACUUGACCAUUCUAUCUUUUAACUGCUCAAGACACAAGUGACGGUUGCAAGCCCCAUGGUGGAAGGUAAUAUGAGUAAGUUUAAAUCUUAACAUUUUACCUUAACUUAGAGAUGAGAUCUUGUUUGAACGCAUGUGUACCCUUAAGGCAUAAAACCACUGCAAAAACUCUUGAGUCCAUCCUUGCUCAGGGACGAGCAAUAGGUAAGCUUGGGGGAGUUGUUGACGGUCCUUAAGUAUCAAAUUUAACCAUCAAAUAAAUAAAGAAAAGGAUCCAAAUACAAACAACACCCAAACUUAGGGUUUUAUCUGAUAGAAUUCCACGAGUUUUGGUAUUUGUCUAUUUCUACAGGGGGUUAUCAGGAAAUAUGGAGGAAAGGCCCACACGUCGGGUUUACAUGGAGAUAUUAACGUGCCGCGCAAUUUUCUAUCAUCUAGAAGACUCCACAAGCCACGGGAACGAACGGGAGCCCAAAAGGGGCCAGGCCCAGGGCGCCCGCCCUGAGGACCUGGGCGCCCGCCCACCUCUAGACUCCGUUCCGGACUCUCUUCGCACACGACGUUCCACCGACCUAUUGGAUCCAGAAUAACAUAGUACCACCUCGCCUAUCGACCCAAAAACGCAUAGAAGGGGAGGACUAUAUAAGGAGACCCCCUCUGGCCCCUGGAGGAGACAAGAAAUUAUCAUAGAGAUUGAGGGGUGCCCUCGAAGGAAAACCUCUUCUCUAAAUAAUAUUUCUUUUUAGGCUUAGCAACCAAUGUAAAGUAGAAAUAGAUCUUCUAGUUUCUACUAGAUUGAGAGAGAUAUAGUGGAGGUAUGGAUCGGAGGAAGGCCGGCCUAUCGGUGUCUACUCCGAGUUGUACCUACGGGAUCAAGUCUCCUAACCCGAGGCUUGCUUCUAAGAUUCUUCAGUAAUUCAACUUCUAAUACUAGUAAGUUCUUGUUUUAUUGUUCUUUGGUUUAUGAGUUUACUUUAAUCCUCUUCCGGUUGAGUAUUAGAGUAAUCACUUGUUAGCGUAAACGUGGUGUUUAGGCUAGGGUACUCAUAGAUAUCCCCUGACUAGCUGGACCGUGGUAGUAGCAAGGAACGUGACAUUUCCGAGUUACCUUUGCAGAUCACAUCUCGUUAGCAGGACGGGUAGGUUUAUAGGUGCGGGUCGAACAUGUGUUGUCUAGAUUCUGUGAGCCUCCCCAAUAGAACAGUAGAUCAUCCUUACCAAGGUUAGAACGAGACUACGGUUGCAGUCUUCUCUAUACAUCACUCACAUCGAGAGACAUUCUUUGUAGCCUAAAGGGAUAGUAGCAAU
RNAcentral lists this long non-coding RNA (37274 nucleotides) under Sorghum bicolor (sorghum). RNAcentral describes it as "long non-coding RNA (SBIC_LNC014316)". The record is from RNAcentral. Lineage: Eukaryota; Viridiplantae; Streptophyta; Magnoliopsida; Poales; Poaceae.